CAAUAGCGUAUAUUAAAGUUGUUGCAGUUAAAAAGCUCGUAGUUGGAUUUCUGGUUGAAGCGACCGGUCGGGCGUUGAUUCGUCUGCACUGGAGUCGGUUUUGGCCAUCCUCUAGGAAAGUGCGUCUGGUAUUAAGUUAUCGGGCGUAUGAUCCUGGUCUUUUACUGUGAAAAAAUUAGAGUGUUUAAAGCAGGCCUUCGCCUUGAAUACAUUAGCAUGGAAUAAUAAGAUAGGACUUUGGUCCAUUUUGUUGGUUUGCAGACCGAAGUAAUGAUUAAUAGGGAUAGUUGGGGGUAUUUAUAUUCCGAUGUCAGAGGUGAAAUUCUUAGAUUUUCGGAAGAUAAACUUAUGCGAAAGCAUUUACCAAGGAUGUUUUCAUUA
Molecule: ribosomal RNA, 381 nt
Filed under: uncultured eukaryote
Lineage: Eukaryota
Description: partial 18S ribosomal RNA
Rfam family: Eukaryotic small subunit ribosomal RNA
Source: RNAcentral